UUUUGGUGUGAUAUUUUGGGGGUGGCAGACAAGAAUGGGUGGGGUAAGUGGAAAGUUGAGACUUGAAUCCCAUCUACAUGAUUUGUAAACAGAAAAGGCAGCAAAAGCCAUAGAUCUAGUCCAAAAUUCUUCCUUGAGGUAUUUUAAUUAUACCAAGAAGAACUCAAGAUGCCACGUUUCUCUUUUUCUUUUCAGAAAUUAAUCCCCUUAUGCCAACGCUGGCUGACCGGCAGGAGGUGUCUCAAGUACAGACUGAGAAAGAUCCUGAAAUCCUGCCUGAUCUCUGUAGGAAAGAGUUUCACAAGCAUCAGGAAGUCAUCACUGCCAUGGGAAAAGGGGGUUGAUGAGGAAAUAUAUACUAAGUAUUUGCCAUUCCCGACUGACCCCAAACUCCUCGUGUAUCAGCAUUUCUUUGUCCUCCUCAGGACAAUGGGAAGAGCUAUUUGGUGGCUUCUAUGUGAUAAAGUUUUGAAUUCCUGUAAAGUAAAAUUGUUAUGAGUAUAUUAUUUCUGGACAUUCUAGCUAAUAAAAAAGGAGUUGGGGCAGAAUUUUUACCUUGUAUAUAAUAGGUCUUAUGUAUUUUACUCACAUGAUCUUUAGAGUACACGCUAAGUUACUAGAACAAGAUAGAAAAAACUAGCAAAACAAAUCCCAUCCUCUUCUCACAACCUCUUCUGAGAGAUACAGACCUGCUAGCAGGUAAGUCUCUGCUGAAGACAGGGAAAAUUAUGACAAGGAGCAGUUUCUCUGUAGCCAGGAAUGCCAAAUCCAUUUAUCCUAAUUGAGUUCUCCAUAGAAUCUACCUGAGACAAUGCUUUUCAUACCAAAGACCUCUCCCGGGGCAAGGCGACUGGUCCAUAUUGGCAUCACCAUGUCUCCUGAGAAACUUGGAAGGUUCCUGGUGUUGGGUGGGGCAAGGAGAAGAAAAUGAUGAGCUGUGGCUGCCUUCCAUCCUACCUCAUUGACGUGCUAAGCUCCCUUCUGCUGGGAGGUUUGACACCAAUGACGGGACAGGACCUAACAUCAGUACAAUUGCCUUUUCAGGACGCUCAGCCUCAGACAGAGAGCACCGGAAAGCUUUGGGCCCUGAGGAGACAUCCUCACUGUAUUUCAUAGGUUCACUAAUGGAUGUCUGCCCCUUCAAGAAGGCAAAGCUUUCAUCUAGAGUCCAAGUAAUUAAAGUCCCUUUUCAGAAACAGAAGGCUGAGGGGACCUCAUCAGAGACUUUCUCACUCCUAUUGACCUGGCUUUCUCUGCUGAACUUCACAUCAUAGGCUGUAAAAUCCACCUUCCCAAGAGACAGGCUGGGAUCUCCCAAAGGGCAUUUAGGAUUGAGUCCAACCUGCUGGUGGAGCCAACUUUAUUUUUACAUUUCUGAGAUGUGGGAGAAGACAUUUUGCUGGGCUCAACCCCCAAAACUCAGCCUCACAGCCUGAAAAGGUAGGGCCCUUCCAACCAUUCUCUCCAGAGUGGCCUUUGAUCCUCUAUAGACUGAGCAAAACAGCCAGGGCUCGAAGGUCCUCCCCGAGUCGGCCCAUUACCUCCCUCCGUCAGUCACCACGGAGCACCACAGAUGGGCUCCCCGGUUCCUCCCACUUCAAUGCAUUUGGCAAAUGGACAUGGAGGGUCAGGGCCACCAGAUGUUUUUCAAUGACCUGUGCACACGCAGUGAGGGAUUAAGAUCAAGUCACUGAUGAGUUUUCCUUGUGGACCUGGAGCCCCAGCAGAAGUGGUGACCACGGGCACCAAGAGCCUCUACCUUUGAGAUGGGAAUUUUCAAGGAGGCUGAGAGGCUUGACCUCCAAAGGGAAGGCCUGGUUGGAGCUCAGAAAUAUAAUACAAUAAAAACUCUGUCUGGAACAGGUUUACAUAGGAUCCCUUGGGUAACAGAAAAUUACAAGAAAUUCCAUCCGAGAGUUCAGCUGAGUAUCGCGACGCUGGUUUCUGCACAUCUGUAAGUCCUAUUAGUGCUUACGAGAUCGACUUGCCUGUGGAUUGAUUUGGAACUGUGGUUACACCGAAGGGGCCGUGAAGACAUGAGCGCUAACAUAUGGCUUCCUCCGCCCCCUGCUCAGAGUGCUCCUGGUGGGGAAUAAGAACAAGGGAAUUACGGGCUCCAGGGAACCCCCUGUCCUCAGUCAUCGCCACUGUCCCUGUGCGGGAGUGUAGCUGUGUGUCUCUCAGCCUCUGCUUAGUUUCCGUGAGUUUGUGGGUAGAGGUGUUGGCAGGCGGCUGCUGAGACCCAGAGCUGGAUUUCCUUCUCAGCGUGUGUGAGCUCCCCGAGACCCACGGCAGACAGAGGCACCACCAAAUCCUCACUAAGCUAAUAUAAAAGCUCAGAGAAAGAGAAGCGCUGCUUCCCUGACUGCCUUUCUUACAACAUAUGGCCUAUGGGCCUCACGAAUGCUAAUACGAUGAAAUUCUUAUUGAAAUAUCUUAGUGGAAGGCUCCACUGUGGCACUGGCACCACGGGGCUAUGCAUGUGCUUUUUUGCUGUUAGAUCUCUGCCUUUCCUUGCGUCCCACCUCUCCGCACACACAGACCUCACAAAUGGGCUGUGCCAGAUGGGCUCUUAAUCAUAGUGAUCAGCUGGGAAAUGAAAUGUUAGGCAAUCCAGCCAGUCUCCUGAAUUUUCCCACUUGAGAGCAGGGCUUGAACUUCGGCGAGCUCCUCCAGGAGACCCAGGCUGCCUCUUAUGGGAGGGUCAGUGUGAGGGACCCAGGGCAGGCUGCGUGCUUCGUGGGCAUUUCUGUUGUUUUUUUCUCAGGGAACUGAAGUUCAGUUUUGUUUGGGUUCUGAUGGCUGCUAGCAAUACCUCCUAUUUAUAGAGCACACACCUCAGAGGAGGUCAAAACAUUUACAGAAAUUAACCAAGCUUUGCAACAUCCCUGACAAGUAGGCUGGGACUAGACUCUGUUUUAGAGGAAGAAACUGAGCUAUUAAGAGGGCAUGUCUUUGCCACCCCAGGUAGACAGGAGCCCAUGGCCCACUCCUUUCCAGGGCUCUGCCAAAGCGAACAAAUGAGGUGGGUGUUUAUUUAUACACUGCUCACUAGCUUAUUAUUCUAGUAUUUUAUCCCCCCCCCAACCACUCACAUCAUGCUAUAAGAUCCCAGUGUGCAAAUAUCACGUCUUUUAUGAAAUCUCCCAAGUAUGCAUCAUGGGUUCCCCUCUAGUUGGUGACCAGUAUGUGUCACUGAUGGGUUUGCAAUAAACUGAUAGCCCUUUCUAGAGUGGCUUUCUCCCCCCAUGCCCAGAAGACUCCUAAAUUCUGCUCAAAGAUCGCUUCCCAGAUGACCCUGCACAGCUAGGUUUUAGGAGUCUUGUAGUACCCACCUCAGCCAGCACUUACCCCCUGGUACUGCAAUUAUUAAAAGGUGAAAUAGUGAAAAGAAAAUAACUUUGUAGUCUUUGAGACAG
Molecule: long non-coding RNA, 3419 nt
Filed under: Sus scrofa (pig)
Lineage: Eukaryota; Metazoa; Chordata; Mammalia; Artiodactyla; Suidae
Description: lncRNA (ENSSSCG00040071531.1)
Source: RNAcentral